RNAcentral lists this transfer RNA (73 nucleotides) under Felis catus (domestic cat). It matches the Rfam family "tRNA". From Rfam's summary of the family: Transfer RNA (tRNA) molecules are approximately 80 nucleotides in length. Their secondary structure includes four short double-helical elements and three loops (D, anti-codon, and T loops). Lineage: Eukaryota; Metazoa; Chordata; Mammalia; Carnivora; Felidae. The record is from Rfam by way of RNAcentral. RNAcentral also lists the same sequence under 3 other names.
GCCUGGCUGACUCAGUCAGUAGAGCAUGUGACUCUUGAUCUCAGGGUUGUGAGUUCAAUCCCCAUGUUGGGUG